Molecule: long non-coding RNA, 263 nt
Filed under: Olea europaea subsp. europaea
Lineage: Eukaryota; Viridiplantae; Streptophyta; Magnoliopsida; Lamiales; Oleaceae
Source: RNAcentral
GCUUAGCUUAGUUGAAUCAUCGUGGUUUUAGUAUGAAUUUGAGGUUUUAAUCAAGUCAUAGGGUCUUAACAAGAUAAUUCCUAUCAAUUCAAUAAUAAAGAAAACAAAAAAAAAAUGGCACAUUAGAUACAAAAGCAAAUUAAAGAAAUAGUUAAAGAGAUAAUUCAAGAGGCCCGUGAGGAUCAACAUAAAGAUGAUUGAGCCAACUUGAUAUUUUGGCAUUAUCGCCACAAAGAAGAGCUUUCUGAAUACAAGAAAUUAUC